Molecule: unclassified non-coding RNA, 312 nt
Filed under: Leucozoma elatum subsp. minus
Lineage: Eukaryota; Viridiplantae; Streptophyta; Magnoliopsida; Asterales; Asteraceae
Description: Coronidium elatum subsp. minus partial external transcribed spacer
Source: RNAcentral
UUUUUUUUUCAAUGCUUAGAUUGCACUGAAUGCACGUUGGGUUUCUUGUGUUGCAUGCCUAGUUGAUGGUAUUGCGUGACGAAUCGAUUUAUUUUCGUCUUUUGUCGCACAUGCGAUGCGAGACGAACCUUAAAGCAGCCUUUGUGAUCCACUCUUUUGAUGCACUCGCAUUGAUUUUGUGGCUCGUUGAGUGUUUGCUUGGUCUCAUGGAUAUGGAACCUUGUGUGGGCAUGUGAUCUUUUACUAGAUCAUUGUUUGCCCAAGCUAAGCUCUUUCAAAUACGAUUUCCUAUCAUGUUCUAACGUGGUAGGC